GGAUAAGUCAUGUUAAUAAUAGUCAUGUGAAUUUGAUAUUCGUUCGGUAUUUUGAUAUGUUGUUUGUUGUUUUUCCUCUAGUGGUGUUAUGUGAACGUCGACUACAUAACACUUCGCCAUAUUUGGGCCUAGAGGAAGGCAUUAGGAAGUAGUAAGUAGAUGAUGGGUUGCUGGAGUGACAGAAGCUUAAACCCGAGUCUAUGCGUUGCUUCGUGAGGGACUGAUUUGGAUCCACUAGUUUAAUGCUAUGGUUAGACUUUUCCUUAAUUCUUCUUGUGUAGUUGCGGAUGCUAGCGAGAGAGGUUAAUCAUAAGUGGGAUGCUUGUCCAAGUAAGGGCAGUACCCAAGCGCCGGUCCACCCACAUAUGAACAUGAUGAAACUAGCAUGACAGAAAUUCCCGUGUGUCCUCAAGAGCGUUUUCCCUCCUAUAAGACUUUGUUCAGGCUUGUCCCUUGCUACAAAAGGGAUUGGGCCACUUGCUGCACCGUUGCUACUACUUGCUACCUGUUACUUUUUGCUCACUACAUUUCACCUCACCACAC
This 543-nucleotide long non-coding RNA is filed under the name Hordeum vulgare. Its description in RNAcentral is "long non-coding RNA (HVUL_LNC004901)". The record is from RNAcentral. Lineage: Eukaryota; Viridiplantae; Streptophyta; Magnoliopsida; Poales; Poaceae.